CAAAUUACACUUUAAAUGUGGGGACUGUGUCACAACACCGAAGAGAUUACCUGUAUAUACAUAGGAUUUUAUUUAAAAACUGCAUUGAUCCUUUCGCAGGCAAUUCCGUAUGGAACGAAUAAUCAAUAACAUUUAUACGAUAAGAAAUAUACGCAAUAGAUAUUAAUAAUUUCCACUAUAGUUUUAAGAAACUAUAAUAAUACUGCAAAAAAUGGGGGACGUUCAU
This 226-nucleotide long non-coding RNA is filed under the name Mytilus galloprovincialis (Mediterranean mussel). Lineage: Eukaryota; Metazoa; Mollusca; Bivalvia; Mytilida; Mytilidae. The record is from RNAcentral.